GGGGGGAGCAAGCGUUGUUCGGAUUUACUGGGCGUAAAGGGCGCGUAGGCGGCCACCGCAAGUCGGUUGUGAAAUCUCCGGGCUUAACCCGGAAAGGUCAAUCGAUACUGCGGGGCUAGAGUGCAGAAGGGGCAACUGGAAUUCUCGGUGUAGCGGUGAAAUGCGUAGAUAUCGAGAGGAACACCUGCGGCGAAGGCGGGUUGCUGGGCUGACACUGACGCUGAAGCGCGAAAGCUAGGGGAGCGAACGGGAUUAGAUACCCCGGUAGUCCUAGCCUUAAACGAUGAAUGCUUGGUGUCUGGGGUUUUAUAGUCCCCGGGUGCCGUCGCUAACGCUUUAAGCAUUCCGCCUGGGGAGUACGGUCGCAAGACUG
This 373-nucleotide ribosomal RNA is filed under the name uncultured organism. Its description in RNAcentral is "bacterial SSU rRNA". It matches the Rfam family "Bacterial small subunit ribosomal RNA", at positions 527 to 896 of the family's 1533-position model. The record is from RNAcentral.